RNAcentral lists this ribosomal RNA (422 nucleotides) under uncultured bacterium. Its description in RNAcentral is "bacterial SSU rRNA". It matches the Rfam family "Bacterial small subunit ribosomal RNA", at positions 355 to 774 of the family's 1533-position model. The record is from RNAcentral.
UGAGGAAUAUUGGUCAAUGGGGGCAACCCUGAACCAGCCAAGUCGCGUGAAGGAUGAAGGUCUUAUGGAUUGUAAACUUCUUUUACACGGGAAUAAAGCGGGGGACGUGUCCCUCUUUGCAUGUACCGUGUGAAUAAGGAUCGGCUAACUCCGUGCCAGCAGCCGCGGUAAUACGGAGGAUCCGAGCGUUAUCCGGAUUUAUUGGGUUUAAAGGGUGCGCAGGCGGGAUGUUAAGUCGGCGGUGAAAUUUUGCAGCUCAACUGUAAAAGUGCCUUCGAUACUGGCCUUCUUGAGUGUGGAUGAAGUAGGCGGAAUUUGUGGUGUAGCGGUGAAAUGCUUAGAUAUCACGAGGAACUCCGAUUACGCAGGCAGCUUACUAAGCCACAACUGACGCUCAUGCACGAAGGCGUGGGGAUCAAACA